RNAcentral lists this small RNA (38 nucleotides) under Arabidopsis thaliana (thale cress). RNAcentral describes it as "ATSL081980". The record is from RNAcentral. Lineage: Eukaryota; Viridiplantae; Streptophyta; Magnoliopsida; Brassicales; Brassicaceae.
UAUCUACUAGCUACAUACACAUUUUUUUGUUUGUUUUU